UGCAGUAGACGCUGAAGACUUUAGCUUGCUAGAGUUGGAAGAGUUGCGAACGGGUGAGUAACGCGUAGGUAACCUGCCUAUUAGUGGGGGAUAACUAUUGGAAACGAUAGCUAAUACCGCAUAAUAGUGUUUAACACAUGUUAGAGACUUAAAAGAUGCAAUUGCAUCACUAGUAGAUGGACCUGCGUUGUAUUAGCUAGUUGGUGGGGUAACGGCCUACCAAGGCGACGAUACAUAGCCGACCUGAGAGGGUGAUCGGCCACACUGGGACUGAGACACGGCCCAGACUCCUACGGGAGGCAGCAGUAGGGAAUCUUCGGCAAUGGGGGCAACCCUGACCGAGCAACGCCGCGUGAGUGAAGAAGGUUUUCGGAUCGUAAAGCUCUGUUGUAAGAGAAGAACGUGUGUGAGAGUGGAAAGUUCACACAGUGACGGUAACUUACCAGAAAGGGACGGCUAACUACGUGCCAGCAGCCGCGGUAAUACGUAGGUCCCGAGCGUUGUCCGGAUUUAUUGGGCGUAAAGCGAGCGCAGGCGGUUUAAUAAGUCUGAAGUUAAAGGCAGUGGCUUAACCAUUGUUCGCUUUGGAAACUGUUAAACUU
This 602-nucleotide ribosomal RNA is filed under the name Streptococcus macedonicus. RNAcentral's name for it is "bacterial SSU rRNA". It matches the Rfam family "Bacterial small subunit ribosomal RNA", at positions 56 to 643 of the family's 1533-position model. Lineage: Bacteria; Bacillati; Bacillota; Bacilli; Lactobacillales; Streptococcaceae. The record is from RNAcentral.